This is a long non-coding RNA of Eucalyptus grandis, 261 nucleotides long. RefSeq lists it as uncharacterized. The record is from RefSeq and is a predicted model, not a curated record. The transcript is spliced from 3 exons. NCBI's taxonomy places the organism in Eukaryota, Viridiplantae, Streptophyta, Magnoliopsida, Myrtales, Myrtaceae.
UAGUGGAACAAUGCUGCUUAUGUUGAGCGGAUACAUGCCAUUCCCAAGUGGCAUGGCCCUCUGCCUAAAUCGGGAGAAACGGUUAUCAACAUAGAAUGGGGCAACUUCCGGUCGUCACACCUUCCACUGACAGAAUAUGAUCAAACCCUGGAUGACGAGAGUCUGAAUCCGGGAGAGCAGGACUCCUGACAUGUCUGCCAUGCAUCAUGACACGUCUCCUGAUCUUAUGGUGGUGAGAGAAAACUGAGCGAUAUCUUGGAG